MicroRNA precursor from Gorilla gorilla gorilla (western lowland gorilla), 58 nucleotides. The record is from Ensembl. NCBI's taxonomy places the organism in Eukaryota, Metazoa, Chordata, Mammalia, Primates, Hominidae.
UAUGCAGGCCUGUGUACAGCACUCAGGCAGUGCCAUGGGCCUGUGCUUGUCCCUGCAG